AAUGGCGAUUAUAGCGUAGGUGAUCACCUCUUCCCAUCCCGAACAGAGAAGUUAAGCCCUACAGCGCCAAUGGUACUAGGUCAAACCUGGGAGAGUAGGUCGUCGCCAACC
This 111-nucleotide ribosomal RNA is filed under the name Saprospirales bacterium. Lineage: Bacteria; Pseudomonadati; Bacteroidota; Saprospiria; Saprospirales. RNAcentral also lists the same sequence under 3 other names. The record is from RNAcentral.